RNAcentral lists this ribosomal RNA (1419 nucleotides) under Sinomonas sp. MUSC101T. RNAcentral's name for it is "bacterial SSU rRNA". It matches the Rfam family "Bacterial small subunit ribosomal RNA". The record is from RNAcentral. Lineage: Bacteria; Bacillati; Actinomycetota; Actinomycetes; Micrococcales; Micrococcaceae.
CGUUCAAACAACAAUUGGGAUGAAGCCCUUAAGGGGUGGAUUAGUGGCGAACGGGUGAGUAACACGUGAGCAACCUGCCCUUGACUCUGGGAUAAGCCUGGGAAACUGGGUCUAAUACCGGAUAGGACCCCUUGCCGCAUGGUGGGGGGUGGAAAGCCUUGUGCGGUCUUGGAUGGGCUCGCGGCCUAUCAGCUUGUUGGUGGGGUGAUGGCCUACCAAGGCGACGACGGGUAGCCGGCCUGAGAGGGUGACCGGCCACACUGGGACUGAGACACGGCCCAGACUCCUACGGGAGGCAGCAGUGGGGAAUAUUGCCCAAUGGGCGGAAGCCUGAUGCAGCGACCCCGCGUGGGGGAUGACGGCCUUCGGGUUGUAAACCCCUUUCGGCAGGGAACAAGCCCCUUGGGGUGAGGGUACCUGCGGAAGAAGCGCCGGCUAACUACGUGCCAGCAGCCGCGGUAAUACGUAGGGCGCGAGCGUUAUCCGGAAUUAUUGGGCGUAAAGAGCUCGUAGGCGGUUUGUCGCGUCUGCUGUGAAAGCCCGGGGCUCAACCCCGGGUCUGCAGUGGGUACGGGCAGGCUGGAGUGCAGUAGGGGAGACUGGAAUUCCUGGUGUAGCGGUGAAAUGCGCAGAUAUCAGGAGGAACACCGAUGGCGAAGGCAGGUCUCUGGGCUGUAACUGACGCUGAGGAGCGAAAGCAUGGGGAGCGAACAGGAUUAGAUACCCUGGUAGUCCAUGCCGUAAACGUUGGGCACUAGGUGUGGGGGCCAUUCCACGGUUUCCGCGCCGCAGCUAACGCAUUAAGUGCCCCGCCUGGGGAGUACGGCCGCAAGGCUAAAACUCAAAGGAAUUGACGGGGGCCCGCACAAGCGGCGGAGCAUGCGGAUUAAUUCGAUGCAACGCGAAGAACCUUACCAAGGCUUGACAUGUGCCGGACCGUCCCAGAGAUGGGGCUUCCCUUCGGGGCCGGUUCACAGGUGGUGCAUGGUUGUCGUCAGCUCGUGUCGUGAGAUGUUGGGUUAAGUCCCGCAACGAGCGCAACCCUCGUUCCAUGUUGCCAGCACUUCGGGUGGGGACUCAUGGGAGACUGCCGGGGUCAACUCGAAGGAAGGGGGGGACGACGUCAAAUCAUCAUGCCCCUUAUGUCUUGGGCUUCACGCAUGCUACAAUGGCCGGUACAAAGGGUUGCGAUUCUGGGAGGUGGAACCAAUCCCAAAAAGCCGGUCCCAGUUCGGAUUGGGGGCUGGAACUCGACCCCUUGAAUCCGAAUCCCUAGAAACCGGAAUAACCAACCCUCCGGGGAAUACUUUCCCGGGCCUUGUACACACCGCCCGGCUAAGUCCAAAAAGUCGGUAAACCCCAAACCCGGGGGCCAACCCUUUUGGGGAGGGGACCUCUAAGGGGACUGGGGAUGUAAGU